CCUACGGGUGGCAGCAGUGAGGAAUAUUGGUCAAUGGACGAGAGUCUGAACCAGCCAAGUAGCGUGAAGGAUGACUGCCCUAUGGGUUGUAAACUUCUUUUAUAUGGGAAUAAAAUGUUCCACGUGUGGGAUUUUGUAUGUACCAUAUGAAUAAGGAUCGGCUAACUCCGUGCCAGCAGCCGCGGUAAUACGGAGGAUCCGAGCGUUAUCCGGAUUUAUUGGGUUUAAAGGGAGCGUAGGUGGAUUGUUAAGUCAGUUGUGAAAGUUUGCGGCUCAACCGUAAAAUUGCAGUUGAAACUGGCAGUCUUGAGUACAGUAGAGGUGGGCGGAAUUCGUGGUGUAGCGGUGAAAGGCUUAGAUAUCACGAAGAACUCAGAUUGCGAAGGCAGCUCACUGGACUGCAACUGACACUGAGGCUCGAAAGUGUGGGUAUCAAACAGGAUUAGAUACCCCAGUAGUC
This 460-nucleotide ribosomal RNA is filed under the name uncultured bacterium. Its description in RNAcentral is "partial 16S ribosomal RNA". It matches the Rfam family "Bacterial small subunit ribosomal RNA", at positions 338 to 795 of the family's 1533-position model. The record is from RNAcentral.